This 478-nucleotide ribosomal RNA is filed under the name uncultured bacterium. RNAcentral describes it as "bacterial SSU rRNA". It matches the Rfam family "Bacterial small subunit ribosomal RNA", at positions 28 to 517 of the family's 1533-position model. The record is from RNAcentral.
GAUGAACGCUAGCGGCAGGCUUAACACAUGCAAGUCGAGGGGCAGCAUGACACGGAGAUUCGUCGAAGUGUUGAUGGCGACCGGCGCAAGGGUGCGUAACGCGUGAGCAACUUGCCCGUUUCUGGGGAAUAACCGGUGGAAACGCCGACUAAUACCCCAUGGUAUUGAUCAGAGGCAUCUUUGGUCAAUUAAAGAAUUUCGGAAACGGNUAGGCUCGCGUGACAUUAGCUAGAUGGCGGGUAACGCCCACCAUGGCGACGAUGUCUAGGGGUUCUGAGAGGAAGGUCCCCCACACUGGAACUGAGACACGGUCCAGACUCCUACGGGAGCAGCAGUGAGGAUAUGGUCAAUGGGGGCAACCCUGACCCAGCAACGCCGCGUGAAGGAAGAAGGUCUUCGGAUUGUAAAACUCUUUUGUCAGGGACGAUAGUGACGGUACCUGACGAAUAAGCCACGGCUAACUACGUGCCAGCAGCCG